CUCAAUAUCUCCACAAAACACAAAGGACACACAACUGCUUGCCAUUGUCGUCGUUUCUUCUAGAAAAAGAGAUAUGGAUCCCUCCCAAAGUGUGACUUAACACACCUAUGGCAUCAUGUGCGACAUCACAGCCACUGCUGGAGGCUAAUCUCCAACCACUGGGAUCUGAUUUUCAGCAGUAUUGACAGUUCAAGAAUCAAUCUGUGCCAGCUUCCUCUACUGAACCUGAUGCCGCUCUCAUACUACGCAUGUGACUGAGCUGUACGACUCAGUUUCCCUGUGCUGUGUGCCUGCUUCUGAGAGGCUGAUCCGUUCAACAGCAGGCGAUGAGGAGGUUGAAGCUGUCUAAACAUGUGGAGCCAUACUGCAGGUAAUUCAUUGGUCAAGUCAAUAAAUGAACUUUAUCUUUACAUCUAUGAGUGUACUUAACUGUGGAGUAGCUGUUGUUUGUGCUAUUAGACCAUACAUAGAGUGCAUAUUUGGCCAUUAGUUAACACUUCAUAGAGUCUGUUUUGAUAGGGUGUUGUUAAGACUUGUGGGACUCCUCUUGGUCCAGUCGCAGUACUUUUGUCCUGGAUGCUGUAAAAACACUUGCUGUGGUUUGGUAAAUUAACAGAGAGCCCCCUAAUGGAGUAAUUACACAGAGCCAAACAUCUAUUUUUCACCUGUGCUCUGCCAUUACUCUCCGUCCCCCAUCCACUCCAUUGGAAGUCACUUACUCUCCUUACAGUGAGUUAUCAUUGACUGCCAUUUAGGCGUUCUGGAGCAAUUUGUCUUACUGAGGCUGUGGGCCGGCCUCAUUGCAGUGAACAAUCAUUCUCCACCAAUAUAUAAAACAUUCAUAGGGAAAAAAGGAGAAAGAAUACAGCACAAACAGAUAGUGGAGAGUGGCUAAUAGAUACUAGGAAAGAGACAGACAAGAAAAAUAAUGUAGUUGAUUAACGGGAGAGGUAAAUGCCGGUACCUUGGCGGUACAAAUGUAUAGAGGCUCUGCCAUAGGACAAAUCUGCCUUCUGGGAACUCCAGCUCUAUCCGUGAAAUGUGGGGGCUACGGUUGUUGAAUUUAAUAUAAAUAAACACUUGAUACUACAUAGCUACUUUUCUAAUCAUAAAUCACACAUCAGAAUAUAUAUAUUGUAAAAAUAUAUACACUCAUUUACUCUCAUUUUAAUAUAGUUGUACUCUCUUUUGAGAUAGUCACUGAACAUUUUUCAUGAGACUGUAGUAAGGUUUUUGACAAGAUAUAGACAAGGUUUCAGUAAUCCAGACUUCUUAUAUAAUGGAUGUACUAUUCUAGCCUCUGACAGAUGUAGUGUCUGUUUUCAUUUCUUCUUGACACUUAUUUUAUCGAGUAAAGAUAUUGAUUGGCUCAAGGGUCCACUCCUCUAGUUUUCCAUGUCUAGAUCAGUUGUCGACUUAAAGGUAAGGAGGGGAAGUUGCGGACACCAUGGUCCUGAGAGCACUGGAGAAGGGCUCACUUUGAAUCAAGCAGAUAGGACCUGUGUCUACCGUGUUGUACAGUAGUAGUCACAAUAGUACAAGCGGUAUCAUGAUGUGGGUAGGAAUAGGCUAUUUCUCACAUACUGUAUGAAUGGAUAUUGGCUUUCUUUUAAAACACAGACCAUUAAGUUACAUGCUAUUUACAUUUUACAUUUAAGUCAUUUAGCAGACGCUCUUAUCCAGAGCGACUUACAAAUUGGUAUUGAUAGCUUUGCUUUGUAAAUGCCUCUGUUAGUUUAGCUUAGUAACGAAGCAUUAUUGCUAAAAUUAUAGACACACAGUGUGCUUUUUGUGGAUUGUAAAACAUACUGUAUAACUUCUUGAAUAUCUUUUUUUUUUUUGAAAGUGUGUAUUGUGGUUAUUCAAGCAGCAUACUGUACUAUUCACUGUCUUUGUUGUGGAGGGGAGUCUGAAAUUCAAUCCAGACCAUCAAUUUUACCUUGGACCUGAACGGUAAGAAUUAUUACCUGCCUGAGAAAUCAAUCAACUUAAGACUUCCCAUCAUGUUACUUAGCUUCUUGCCACAUAAGUUGAACUAACUAUAAGCUAACAAUCAGACUCAACAUUCAACACAAUAUGUUCUGAGAACGUCUCCGGAAAGUUAUAGCCUAAACGUUUGACAUGGUAGGCAAGAGAUGUCGCAGCUUUAUGCAUAGCCUGUCUGACAUGUGUAUCCCAGUCAACCUGGCUGCAUUCCCCUGAAGGGUUAGUACAUUUACAUUACAUUUAAGUCAUUUAGCAGACGCUCUUAUCCAGAGCGACUUGUGCUUAACUGUUUUGUUAGAUUACUCACUCUCACGGCUUAACACAAUGACAAAUAACCAUUCUUUUUUUCUUGCAGUGAUAAUCCGGACAAUUUAAACAUUUCUUACAAGCAGAAGUGAAACCAUUAAUCCUGUGAGAUUCUUCUGAUAAGUGGUAACUGUGAAGUAAUGGCCAUGUCGCCUAGAAAAAUCAAAAAUAUGUGGACAAUUAAAACAAGAUGGACAUUAUCUGGCAAGUCCCUACUCCCCUUUUCUUUAGUAGUAUUGUAAUUGAUCUGUCCCUUUGUUACUAAACUGAAUAUUGAGUCCUGGCUUUUUGUUCAUUAUCUGUGGAUUUUAACAUGGUGCAUAUUUGUCAAGUUCGAAAAUCAUGUAAAAAAGGAAACCAGUGAUUAUUUUCUUCACAUAUACAAAUGCUGUUCUGAAGAAAAGUCAAUUCUCAUGUCACCUGCUAAAGUUUCUGGCUAUAAUGUGUUGACCUUUACAGGCACCCCUGUUGUUUAGUUAUUUGAAAGUACUUUGACAAGCUGCAGUAUAUUACAGGAGUAUAUUGUAUCUGGAAUUAAGUCCAUUCACAUUUAAUUGUCCUUAAAAACUCUGUCAAACUUUUGUUCUGGGAGUUUGCUUUGCCCUAGAAAAUCAAUGUGACAUGUUUUGGGCCGGGGGGGGGGGGGGGGGGUAAUAAUCUGGUUCCCUGACCAUAGUGAACACCCUAAUUUCUGUGGCUUGGCAAAGAGAUGUAGUGUGUUGAAUUAUGGUAAUUAAAGGUUGAAUUAUAAAAGUUUGACAUUUUCAUCCUCAAUUGUGUGAGCAAAAAGUGUAUGGAAUCAUAUAUAAACUUUUAAGUUGAUAUUUCUAAUUGCAAAGUACAUUAUAUUAAUUUCCUCCUACGUAUGACAAAAGGUGAAGUGGCAUCACAAUUAUAGUUGAAAUAUGUAGUCCUUCAAAACAUUUGAUAUUAUUUCACUCUGCUAUGUUGACUUUAACAUUAUA
Oncorhynchus gorbuscha (pink salmon) is the source of this 3257-nucleotide long non-coding RNA. RefSeq lists it as uncharacterized. The record is from RefSeq and is a predicted model, not a curated record. NCBI's taxonomy places the organism in Eukaryota, Metazoa, Chordata, Actinopteri, Salmoniformes, Salmonidae. The transcript is spliced from 3 exons.